GGCUCUUGGCCGUACGGGGUCGACCUCCUCUUUUUGGCGAUGGCUCUUGGCCGUAGGGGUCGACCUCUUCUUUUUUGGCGAUGGCUCUUGGCCGUACGGGGUCGACCUCCUCUUUUUGGCGAUGGCUCUUGGCCGUACGGGGUCGACCUCCUCUUUUUGGCGAUGGCUCUUGGCCGUUGGGAUCUAUCUCUUCUUUUUUGGCGAUGGCCCUUGGUCUUAAAGGGUGUUAUUUCGAACUUAUCGAAAUGUUAACCCGUUAUUUUACAGUCAGAUUUUGGAGAACCGCAGGUCGCCGUACUGUUCGUGCAUAUGUCGGGGUGAAUCCCGGCGUACUGAAUUUUGUUUUUACUGGAGAAUAUUUGGCUUACUUGCCCCUGUGACUUGUUUUCUUCCUAGAACUGUAAAGCAUAAGCCAACAAUAAUAGUUAAAAGAAUAUCUCCUUAACUAUGUUUUAUAUAUUACUGGCUGAAUAUCCUCUUCUAGAAUCUGUACCAAUAACAAUCAAGUACGUCCAUAUAAAUUUGUUAAGCCAUAAAAGCAAGUCAUACCCUGAGCACGACUAUGAAAGAUGGUAAAUCGAAUCAGCAGCAAAAGUGAGUAUAUAGUCAUGCACGUUCGCUAGCUGGACAAGAUAUUAUUAGCAAUCAACAUGCGUUUUCCAUGUAAGUUACUUCCCUGAAUAGGAAAUGCAACCAUAAGGAAGCUAAGAUUCAUAAUCAUAAGCCUCUAACACAGACAAUGUUUAAAACCUGUAACAACGGAAGCAAGAAUUGAAGACCAAGAAAACUAUGGCAUAAAAUAUCAUAACUAGAACCCAAAAAGAAGGGAGUCCCAUUUUUGCUUAGCUUCUGCGUUUCUUGGGUGAGUCCCAGUUUGCUUAAUUUUUUUUCUUGCGCAUGGGGAAUACGAUGCGUUCCCUGUGUGAGUUCCAGUUUGCUUAAUUUUAUUUUCAUUGGAGAAUACGAUGCGUUUCCCGGGUGAUUGCUCCUGCUUUUAUUUUACUUGGAGAAAUAGUUAGUUAAAACAAAAUGAAAGCGUUUGUUACCUCGAUUUGAUCGGUCAACGAGUGGAGAGGAGUGACCAUGUUCCCUUCUCCGGUUAUGCUUUCAGUAGCUGCUACCAAUUUGGCGUGGUUGUCCGCUUUAGUAAAAUUUUAUGUCUACAAUUGGGUUUGUUGUUGUAGAGGCUAUGAAGAUUUUAUCUUCCAUGUACUUCUUCGUCUUCCUUUUCUCUUUGUGUUGCUGCUACCGUAUCUUGGCGAGACGGUACGAUAUGGCUUCUUAUAGCAAACUGGUGCCUGCAGCCAUGGCGGCAUCGCCUUAUCUUUUGCUUAGUUCAAACACGCCAAAUCCAAGCCCUCAAUACCCAAUUCAUGUUCUUCCAGGGUAAGUCUUUAUUCUCUUUUUAAGAGAGAUUUUAACCCAAAGACUCUUGUAGGUCUCAUUUUAAGACCGUAACCCGAGACUUUUUAACCGAAAGGACCAUGUAAUUCUUGAUUUAA
Molecule: long non-coding RNA, 1502 nt
Filed under: Nicotiana tabacum (common tobacco)
Lineage: Eukaryota; Viridiplantae; Streptophyta; Magnoliopsida; Solanales; Solanaceae
Description: long non-coding RNA (NTAB_LNC017809)
Source: RNAcentral